CCUACGGGAGGCAGCAGUGAGGAAUAUUGGUCAAUGGGCGAGAGCCUGAACCAGCCAAGUCGCGUGAAGGAUGAAGGUCCUAUGGUUUGUAAACUUCUUUUAUAUGGGAAUAAAGUGCGCCACGUGUUCCUUUUUGUAUGUACCCUAUGAAUAAGCAUCGGCUAACUCCGUGCCAGCAGCCGCGGUAAUCCGGAGGAUGCGAGCGUUAUCCGGAUUUAUUGGGUUUAAAGGGUGCGUAGGUGGUUAAUUAAGUCAGCGGUGAAAGUUUGUGGCUCAACCAUAAAAUUGCCGUUGAAACUGGUUGACUUGAGUAUAGUAGAGGUAGGCGGAAUGCGUGGUGUAGCGGUGAAAUGCAUAGAUAUCACGCAGAACUCCGAUUGCGAAGGCAGCUUACUGAACUAUAACUGACACUGAAGCACGAAAGCGUGGGUAUCAAACAGGAUUAGAUACCCUUGUAGUC
This 460-nucleotide ribosomal RNA is filed under the name uncultured bacterium. Its description in RNAcentral is "partial 16S ribosomal RNA". It matches the Rfam family "Bacterial small subunit ribosomal RNA", at positions 338 to 795 of the family's 1533-position model. The record is from RNAcentral.